AAAGGAAUAACUGGGUCAAAUGGUGGUUUCAUUCAAAAUUUUCUGAGGAAUCUUCAUAGUGCUUUCCAAAGUGGUUGAACUAAUUUGCAGUCCUAUCAGUAAU
RNAcentral lists this microRNA precursor (103 nucleotides) under Marmota monax (woodchuck). Lineage: Eukaryota; Metazoa; Chordata; Mammalia; Rodentia; Sciuridae. The record is from RNAcentral.